AGAACGAACGCUGGCGGCAGGCUUAACACAUGCAAGUCGAGCGCCCCGCAAGGGGAGCGGCAGACGGGUGAGUAACGCGUGGGAACAUACCCUCCGGUUCGGAAUAGCUCAGGGGAAACUUGGAUUAAUACCGGAUACGGCCUAGCGGCGAAAGAUUCAUCGCCGGAGGAUUGGCCCGCGUCUGAUUAGCUAGUUGGUGGGGUAAUGGCCCACCAAGGCGACGAUCAGUAGCUGGUCUGAGAGGAUGAUCAGCCACAUUGGGACUGAGACACGGCCCAAACUCCUACGGGAGGCAGCAGUGGGGAAUAUUGGACAAUGGGCGCAAACCUGAUCCAGCCAUGCCGCGUGAGUGAUGACGGCCUUAGGGUUGUAAAGCUCUUUCGCUAGGGACGAUAAUGACGGUACCUAGACAAGAAGCCCGGCUAACUUCGUGCCAGCAGCCGC
This 444-nucleotide ribosomal RNA is filed under the name uncultured bacterium. Its description in RNAcentral is "SSU rRNA". It matches the Rfam family "Bacterial small subunit ribosomal RNA", at positions 26 to 518 of the family's 1533-position model. The record is from RNAcentral.